UUUGAGUACUCUGAUGUCCAGAAGGAAUUAGUUCUGUUUGGAAUUGCUGAUGACCACUCCUUCAUGUCCUCAGCUACAGUCAAAGCACAGUUUGCUCCAGACAGACCCAUCUCUAAAAGAAAGACAGUAAAGAACAAGAAAUACACAGGAACGUCCUCAGAUUCAGAUGACUCAACAGUGAAGCAUGCAGCUCAGACACCCAAGAAAUGCCAGAGGAGAAAAGAUCAGAACCAGCCAGUAAAUGGUCAGAGCAGCUCUAUGAGUAUUCAAUCAAGCAACCAAGUGGAGCUCAUACCAAACCUGAAGGGGCUAUACUCAAUAUGUGUGGCAAAACUACCCCAAGAACUUGAAACGAAUGUCCAAGAACUGUUCAGUGAAGUUGCAUCACCACAUGAAUGCAGUCGAGGAGGCAUCUCAUGACAUCAGAGCAGUAUCUAUCUCCCGGGCCUACCUUCGGGGUGCUCCAUUUUCAGACAUAUGCAAAGCAGCUUGCUUUAAAUCACCCACUACCUUUAACUCAUUGCAUGACGUCUGGCAAGCGGACUGUGUUCAUGGCAAGACAAUACUCAAAUCAGAAGAGAUUCCUCAUCAGGACAGACUGCUACCAAGUCAUUUUGACAGCAUCUCAUGCUUGUCCCAGAAGUAAAUGAUAGAAUUCUUUUCAACAACAUCCUAGUAUGCCUCUUCUGCUGAAUCCAAUAAUGGAGGAAUAAAAAAAUGAAGGAGAAAUGAAGUGGACUGAUGGGAAAUACAGGCACGUUGGACUUGGCUGAUGCCCACACUUCCCAGCAUCUUCAUGAAGCUAGAUAUUUCUUAGUGGUCGAUUAGGCUUUUGCUGGCAUGAGUAUCGACGGGAGGCUGAUGGAUGCCAAGGACCUUUGAGCCGAGGUCAUCGAGGGAAGCAGCCAGGUUACUCCAAAUUUCUGAAGGGAAAACAAGCAACAGCCAACAGUACAAUUUACGACAGAUGCACAAAAAGCGUCUAUUUACAUUUAAUAAAACAAGUUUGGCUAAUUGACAAAAUAAAUAGGAAUGGUUUGUAGCAACUCUCCAAAUACUGACUGAUUCAGUGUCAAACACCGAAGGUGGCCACGAAAAACCCCCUGUGGGGGAAACGUGGGUGUAUCUGGGGUGCACUCCCCCGGUACUGAAUCGGUUUGGGAACUUAAUUUUGGGGAUAUGGGGUGGGGGAUUCGUGUAACAGCGAGGUUGACUGCUUGACUAAGAAUGAGCUGGAAGCCCACGCUUCGCUAAAUAUACAUAGGAUGAUUACGUAAUAAAGAAUGUGGGUUAUUCUGGAGUGUGCAGUAGGCUCGCACCUGUCAUGCGAAAACAAAAAGAAAUUCCACGCUUUGAUGCGAAACAUGUUCAAAGUAUUUUUAAUCAGCAAUUGUUUCCAAGCUUCCUGCAAUAAUGCAAGAUCCUAAGCAUCCCCUUUACGCUUCAGUGGUUGUCAACAGAUCCUGAAGAAUCCGCACCCCAGGCACCAAUACAAACGUUUUAUAAUGUCUUUUUUGCUUAAUGCUUGCCACAUGUUUAUUUAAACGAUAAACCCCGCACGUUCCUGAUUAGUGAUGUCCACCCCGAUGCAUGAAAACAGUUGUUAUCUGUUUAAUCUUUGCUUUUAUGAAUGUCGGUUUAUAUUCGUUGUAUUAAAUAAAUGGAAAUUCAUUUUUUAAUGCUAUUUACUAUAUGUAUAACUUUUAUGUAUAAUGCACACAGGAAACAAAUUUUCAUGGUUUUCUAAUGUGACGAUGUAAUAAAUGUAAUGAAAUGAAGUUGGACAACAGAACAUGA
This 1797-nucleotide unclassified non-coding RNA is filed under the name Acanthaster planci (crown-of-thorns starfish). RNAcentral's name for it is "uncharacterized LOC110990503, transcript variant X3". The record is from RNAcentral. Lineage: Eukaryota; Metazoa; Echinodermata; Asteroidea; Valvatida; Acanthasteridae.